CUUAGAAAGAAGGCUCCAAGUGUUCCCAGGGGAACAGAGUCCGGGGUUUCCUUCUUUCAGGCUUGCAGACAGUGAUGGAAGCAGCCUCAGCCCAAGAAGGUGAAACUCUUCCUGGAAGGGGGGCAGGAGGGCUCCUGGCACAGUGGUCUGCAGGGCUUGGGAAACUGCUCCAAAGAAAGGUGGCUGUAGGGCCAGGUAUGUACACAAGUCUAAGUGUCCUCAGAGGCAAGAGGAAUUGGAUCUCCUGGAACUGGAGAGUCACAGGAGAUUGUGAACUGUCUGACAUGGGUUCUGGGAGCUGAAAUCCAGUCCUCUUGGAAGAGUAGUAGAUGCUCUUAACCACUGAACCAUCUCUCCAGCCCUGGUCUCAGGUAUUCUGAGACAGUACGCUUAUCUAAAGAACAUCAGAAGUCGUGUCAUGGACUAUCCGCUUGGUAGCAUUAUGGAGCCAUUUUAUCAGGCUUGUGCUUAGCUCCCCACAGUGCUACUCUUCCCUCAUCCUCUUACUUUCUCUAAUCCAGUUGCAGGCAACCUCUCCACACUCAUUCUCACCUUCCACUGAGCUGUUGCUUCCACCCUGCUCUGCCUAGACUGCCCUGCCUCAUCUCUACAUGCCCAGGUUAGCCUCAUUUUCCAACGCCUGAUUCACUGGCCUUGGUGGAAAGCAGCCCUACAUUCUUAACUAGAAGUGAACAGCGCCUCUCCUGAACCGCCACACGCUGUUGCUGACUCUGCUUCCUUCUGCUACAAAGAAGCAAGACCAUUACCCUCCCUCCUCCAGCUGACUGACCUCUUUGAGAAUGAUAAAUAGUAUCCAUGUAUCAUCUUGGAACCCCUCCACAGGGUGCUGUGCCCAGAGCAGAAACUCAGUAACAAAUGUUGAGGAAGGAAAUGUAGAGAGCUGGGUUUGUUUAUCAAGGGUGGAAGAUGAGAAAGACAGGGAGGAUGGGAAAGAAAGGAAACAGAAAAGGAAAGGGCAUUCCCACUUUCAUAGUAGCUGUUAUAAACCCUGAUUCACAGAAACAGAAAAAGAAGCUCACUGCCCUGUGCUGGGCAACACCCUCAAUGCUCAGCACACAUCCUUUCCUUCAAUAUUCACAAUGGCCCUUAUGAAGUGCUAUUAUCCUCAGUCUGUAGAUGAAGAAACUGAGGCCCAGAGAACUUACAUUGGAACCCAGGUUUACGAAGCUCAUCCCAAGGGUGGUUGGAAUGUGCACACUGCACCUCUGAUGAACGGGCCCUGUAUUUUUUAUAACUCAUCAUAUAAUCCCAAAUUCCUCUGAGGAGGAGAAACAAACAGAAACUGAUCAAGACACCCUGGUCUAACCCAACCUCAACAUUCAAGUUUUCCCAUUUAUCCAUCCUCCACAUCCAACAAGAGCUGCUCUAAGACUAUUCAGGUCCCUGCAUUCCACCACAGACAGGGCAGAGUCCUGAGCCCCACUUCACCCCAGCCGCUCUGGGCUCUCUCCCUGCAAGAUCUCCAGUGUGGACUCAAGCAAGCUUCCAGGAGUUGAAAUGCAAAACAUCUUUCUUUGAAAGCACUUGUGCAUUGGUUUCCCUGCUUUGGAUCACUUAAGGCAGACUUGAGUGGCCUUUUAAUAGGUUUGUUUUGUGGUUGGUUUAUUCCUCUUUUGGGGUGAGUGGAUUUCACUUAGCUGUGUGAAGAAGGAAAGGCUGUUUAUGAGCCAAGUGGAGCAGCAGACAUCAGACAGGCUGAAGGAUGUUGAAGUUUCCCAUGGGCCCUACAAGCCCCUUGAGCAUCUGACAAAGCUGGUUUGCUGCCUGAUCACUUUUAUUUUGAUUUUCACUCAGUUAUUCAGGAUCUAUUUUACUCACCUGGAAAGUUGCAUAAUCUGAAAAGCUCAAGACAAUUGAUUCCUAGUUGCUGUCCCUGUUUUGUUUUAGCAAGGUGGAUGAAAUGGCCUUGUCCUCUACAGCAAGACUGUAUGCACCUUUACUGGUAAAGAGGAGAGGAGAGUUGGGGCCAUUUCCCAUUCUGAUCAGGUAGUAAUUUUCAAAUAGAGACAAAAGUGAUGCACCUCAUUAAUGAACUCAGUUACUCCAACUGGCCCAGUCUAGGAAUGGAAGCAAACAUUUGUCGAGUUCCUGAUGCACAUUUACCCAGACCUCGUGAUCCCCUGGGCAACUCUAAAAUGUUUCACAGAUUCUCCAAAUUCAGUAUAUUGCAAAUUUAACUUAUUAUUCUCUCUCCAUCCUGUUCUCCCAAUAGCGGAACUUGUACUAUUUCAACUCACUGUCUGUGUCAGAAACUCAGCACUACUCUCAGUUCUCAGCCUCUAGCCUCCAUAUCUAAUUUGUCUUUUUAUAGGAUGUAUCUAAGUGCCUUCUAAAGAUCUGUCAUCUGUCCCUCUUGUCUCUCUACCACUGCCUUAUUACAAGCUACCAUCAUUUCUCAUCAUAUCUCUGUCUCCAUUCGCCCUCUCCAGUCCUCUUCCACACCAUCCCUUCAAGGAUGUGGCCAACACAAUUGUGUUAUCCUAUUGUCCUGCUUCAUCAAAUCCUCAUCAACCAGUGGGUAACUUGACACAUGGGACGCCUCACCCCUUGGCAAAUGGCCAGCUCUGCCAGCUCAUCUGCUGACACAGGACACUCCAGCCAUACUAGAAAGGCACUCUCCUCCCCAGCGUGCACUGUGGUCCAGAGUCUGGUUGAUAUAUCCUACCUAUAUUUGAAACCAUGGAAAACUACUCACCUUCCAAACUUUGCCUCCUUGUAGAAGCCUUCCUAUAUUCUCCAAGAAAGUGUCAGAUGGGGAGGAGGAAAGACACACUCUUUAUAUAUCUGUGGGUGCUGGUGAGAUGGCUCAGCAGGUAAAGGUGCUUGCUGCCAACUCUGAUGACCUGAAUUCAAUACCUGGGGCCCACAUGGUAGAAGAAGAGAACCUUUUCCUGAAAGUUGUCCUCUAACUUCACCCAUGUACUGUGGCAUGUGUGUGCAAUACACCUUGGGUCCCACGAAUACCAUGCACACAAAAUAAAUAAAUGUGAUUUUAAAAAAUACUUUUUUAGCCAGGUGUAGUGGCACACACCUUUGAUCCCAGCACUUGGGAGGCAGACACAGGUGGAUCUCUGUGAGAACGAGGCCAGCCUGGUCGACAUAGUGAACUCCAGGCAAGUUGUGGCUACAGGGAGACCCUGUCUCAAAAAGAAUUUUUUUUAAAGCUGUAAGACUAUAGAAACGAAUGCCAAUCGUCCAGUUGAUCAUAGCCAACAUUUUGUUGUAUUUGCUGCCAACUCUCAACUGCCGAGAGGAAACUGAUAGCAAAAGGAAGCGAAAAAGGGAUCCCAGAGUGAGUUAUUAAGACCUGCAGGUGGGAUGAGAUCCCAGAGAACCAGGAAGAGGCCAAGUGGAACCUGUCAAAGUAUUCUUCUAACAGAAUUUAAAAUGGCAGAGUCACCUUUAAAAAAAAAAAAAAAGCCACUUUCCCAAAGACUGAUAACCCAACGAACUAUAUAUCCUGGUAGAAAACUGAGAGCAUUAAGUGAAAAAAAUCUUAUUUUAUUGUGGAUUUGGCAUAGAAAAAUAUUUGGAAAAGAUGGCAAUACUGUAAAACUUUGGAUUGCUUGACUGUUUCAGCGCUUGUUGAAAAUGGUUAUGUGCCAACCCAGAAGGCCGUGCACUGAGAUAUUAACUGUGACUGCCUUUGCAUGACAGCACUGGAGGCAGCAUUUUUUCUGCACCUUGUCUGUCUGUCUGCAUUGUUUUAAACAACAAGGAAAAAAAAGUGCUAUAAAAAUAUAUUUCAGCCAGGCCUAGUGGCACACACCCUUAAUCUCAGCACUAGGGAGGCAGAGGCAGGUGGAUCUCUGUGAGAUUGAGGCCAGCCUAGCGAGCUCCAGGUCAGCUGAGGCUACAGGGAGUCCUUAUCUUAAAAAAAAAAAAAAACAUUCCGAGUUCAGUAGUUGAGGUUUUUCUUUCAUGGAAGACAUAGAAUAUUCAAAGAAGGGAGAUUGUUUGUUGACUACCUUGAAUUUGAAGCUGGAACUCUGAGGAGAUUUCUCCCAGUUAGGAUUAUGGACUGUCCCACACAGGGGACAGCAGCUGACCUUAAGUCACAUGUAAUGCAUUCAGAGGCGAACAAUCACUGCAAAAACUCCCAAACACACAAAUGCAUAACGGUUAAAAAUAAUAAACAAACGGAGCUUCUGUGUCUUCAUGCCUGGGAACAAGGGCCUGUUCUUCUCGUCUUUAUAAUGAAAUAGUGAGGUUCUGUGGAAAAACUCCAGCAGUUGGUCAAUGAUCUGAGCACAGUGUUGCAGCCUGUCACAGA
Long non-coding RNA from Nannospalax galili (Upper Galilee mountains blind mole rat), 4294 nucleotides. RefSeq lists it as uncharacterized. NCBI's taxonomy places the organism in Eukaryota, Metazoa, Chordata, Mammalia, Rodentia, Spalacidae. The record is from RefSeq and is a predicted model, not a curated record. The transcript is spliced from 3 exons.